GUGCCAGCCGCCGCGGUAAUACGUAGGUGGCAAGCGUUAUCCGGAAUUACUGGGCGUAAAGCGCACGCAGGCGGCUAGUCAAGUUCGACGUGAAAGCUCCCGGCUUAACUGGGAGAGGUCGUUGAAAACUGGUUAGCUUGAGGCAAUGAGAGGGGUGUAGAAUUCCCGGUGUAGUGGUGGAAUGCGUAGAUAUCGGGAGGAAUACCAGUGGCGAAAGCGGCACCCUAGCGUUGUUCUGACGCUCAUGUGCGAAAGCGUGGGGAGCGAACGGGAUUAGAUACCCCUGUAGUCC
Molecule: ribosomal RNA, 292 nt
Filed under: uncultured bacterium
Lineage: Bacteria
Description: partial 16S ribosomal RNA
Rfam family: Bacterial small subunit ribosomal RNA
Source: RNAcentral